UACGAAGGACCCGAGCGUUAUCCGGAUUUAUUGGGUUUAAAGGGUGCGUAGGCGGAUUAGUAAGUCAGUGGUGAAAGCCCGUCGCUUAACGGCGGAACUGCCAUUGAUACUGCUAGUCUUGAGUAUGGUUGAGGUGGGCGGAAUGUGUCAUGUAGCGGUGAAAUGCUUAGAUAUGACCCAGAACACCAAUUGCGAAGGCAGCUCGUUACACGAAGAUUGACUCUGAGGCACGAAAGCGUGGGGAUCAAACAGG
This 253-nucleotide ribosomal RNA is filed under the name uncultured bacterium. RNAcentral describes it as "partial 16S ribosomal RNA". It matches the Rfam family "Bacterial small subunit ribosomal RNA", at positions 524 to 776 of the family's 1533-position model. The record is from RNAcentral.